This 82-nucleotide transfer RNA is filed under the name Agrobacterium salinitolerans. RNAcentral's name for it is "tRNA-OTHER". Lineage: Bacteria; Pseudomonadati; Pseudomonadota; Alphaproteobacteria; Hyphomicrobiales; Rhizobiaceae. The record is from RNAcentral.
GGGACCGUAGCUCAGAGGCAAGAGCGCCCGUAUGGCCGGCCAUACGGAGAGGACGGCGGGUCGCAAGCGCCCGGUUCCACCA